GGUGUAGCGCAGUUGGUAGCGCGCUUGGUUCGGGACCAAGAGGCCGUGGGUUCAAAUCCCGCCAC
Molecule: transfer RNA, 65 nt
Filed under: Dysosmobacter welbionis
Lineage: Bacteria; Bacillati; Bacillota; Clostridia; Eubacteriales; Oscillospiraceae
Also listed under: 3 other names
Rfam family: tRNA
About the family: Transfer RNA (tRNA) molecules are approximately 80 nucleotides in length.
Source: RNAcentral